This 496-nucleotide ribosomal RNA is filed under the name uncultured bacterium. Its description in RNAcentral is "partial 16S ribosomal RNA". It matches the Rfam family "Bacterial small subunit ribosomal RNA", at positions 28 to 506 of the family's 1533-position model. The record is from RNAcentral.
GAUGAACGCUGGCGGCGUGCCUAAUACAUGCAAGUCGAGCGAACAGAUGAGGAGCUUGCUCCUCUGACGUUAGCGGCGGACGGGUGAGUAACACGUGGAUAACCUACCUAUAAGACUGGGAUAACUUCGGGAAACCGGAGCUAAUACCGGAUAAUAUAUUGAACCGCAUGGUUCAAUAGCGAAAGACGGUUUUGCUGUCACUUAUAGAUGGAUCCGCGCCGCAUUAGCUAGUUGGUAAGGUAACGGCUUACCAAGGCAACGAUGCGUAGCCGACCUGAGAGGGGGAUGGGCCAAACGUGACAGGAGCAACGUACCAGACCCCGAGGGGGGGAAGAAGGGGGGAAUCUCCCGCAGGGGGCGAAAGCGUGAGGGGACAACCCCGGGGGAGGGAAGAAGUUUUGCGGUUCGUAAAACUCUUUUAUUGGGGAAAAAAAAAUUUUAAAGUAACGAUGACCGUUUGGAAGGUACCAAAUCAAAAAGCCACGGCAAAAUACGG